Suricata suricatta (meerkat) is the source of this 592-nucleotide long non-coding RNA. RefSeq lists it as uncharacterized. Lineage: Eukaryota; Metazoa; Chordata; Mammalia; Carnivora; Herpestidae. The record is from RefSeq and is a predicted model, not a curated record. The transcript is spliced from 2 exons.
UAGGCGUGUGCUGUGUAAGGUGUGCGCCCCUCCGAGGGGGAGUUCGGGCGUCCAGGUGGCUGGGCUGGGAAGGACCGAGCAGCGGCCAGGCCAGGACCACCGGCGGGGUCUGUGAGGCUCUUUCCGGAAGCCGGCAGCACCGAGUGGGGACGGCCAUCCCCCAGUGCAGACGGGGUCACCGGCCCAGAGAAUUCCAAUACAGGACCUUGGAGGAAAGGCUGCUGUCUGAAAAUAUUUUGCUGACACCUGCUGGGAGAUUAAGACUCGGAGAUGCAGCCAGUGUUGAGAUAUGCAGAGCCAGGGGAAGGGGUUUGGAACUGGGUAUUCUGACCGUAGGGAAGCCGUUCACAAAAGGCUGCAUUUUCCAUGCUCUCGAUGGGAGAAACCGGUCUGUCCCACAUUAAUGACUCCAAGUUAACACCCAGAUAAGGCAGAUUCUGUGAAGUUUGAGCUGUACCUUUAUCAGUGUACUAUCGUAUACAUACACACACAUAUCCAUGCAAAAAAAAAAAAACCACAUACACUAAAAUCUUUAUAUAAAUAUGCCUUAAAGAGCUCUUUAAAAUGUAUAAAUUAAAAUUUUGAGUGACAA